RNAcentral lists this ribosomal RNA (534 nucleotides) under uncultured Thiobacillus sp. Its description in RNAcentral is "SSU rRNA". It matches the Rfam family "Bacterial small subunit ribosomal RNA", at positions 305 to 831 of the family's 1533-position model. The record is from RNAcentral. Lineage: Bacteria; Pseudomonadati; Pseudomonadota; Betaproteobacteria; Nitrosomonadales; Thiobacillaceae.
CCGCCACACUGGGACUGAGACACGGCCCAGACUCCUACGGGAGGCAGCAGUGGGGAAUUUUGGACAAUGGGGGCAACCCUGAUCCAGCCAUUCCGCGUGAGUGAAGAAGGCCUUCGGGUUGUAAAGCUCUUUCAGCUGGAGUGAAACGGUUCGCUCUAACAUAGCGAGCUAAUGACGGUACCAGCAGAAGAAGCACCGGCUAACUACGUGCCAGCAGCCGCGGUAAUACGUAGGGUGCGAGCGUUAAUCGGAAUUACUGGGCGUAAAGCGUGCGCAGGCGGAUUGUUAAGCAAGACGUGAAAUCCCCGGGCUUAACCUGGGAAUGGCGUUUUGAACUGGCAGUCUAGAGUGCGUCAGAGGGGGGUGGAAUUCCACGUGUAGCAGUGAAAUGCGUAGAGAUGUGGAGGAACACCAAUGGCGAAGGCAGCCCCCUGGGAUGACACUGACGCUCAUGUACGAAAGCGUGGGUAGCAAACAGGAUUAGAUACCCUGGUAGUCCACGCCCUAAACGAUGUCAACUGGUUGUUGGGGGAG